This 708-nucleotide ribosomal RNA is filed under the name Lunasporangiospora chienii. Its description in RNAcentral is "eukaryotic LSU rRNA". It matches the Rfam family "Eukaryotic large subunit ribosomal RNA", at positions 92 to 649 of the family's 3401-position model. The record is from RNAcentral. Lineage: Eukaryota; Fungi; Mortierellomycota; Mortierellomycetes; Mortierellales; Mortierellaceae.
AGUGAAGCGGGAUGAGCUCAAAUUUGAAAUCUGGCUGGUUUUACUGGUCCGAGUUGUAGUUUAUAGAGGUGUUUUCGGUGGCAGCCUGGGUAUAAAUCCUUUGGAAUAGGGUAUCAUAGAGGGUGAGAAUCCCGUCUUUGACUUAGGUUAUGCUACUAUGUGAUACAUCUUCAAAGAGUCGAGUUGUUUGGGAAUGCAGCUCUAAAUGGGUGGUAAAUUUCAUCUAAAGCUAAAUACAGGCGAGAGACCGAUAGCGAACAAGUACCGUGAGGGAAAGAUGAAAAGAACUUUGAAAAGAGAGUUAAACAGUGCGUGAAAUUGUUGAAAGGGAAACGUUUGAAGCCAGCCGUGCGGGCGGAAAAUCAGCCUAGCUGUGGUGAGGAGCUAUGAGGGGUUCGGAGCGCAAGCCCGGCCUUUUGUGGCAUCCGUAUCACAAUGGGUGCACUUUUUCGUUUGCAGGUCAACAUCAGUUUGCUUCGCUGGAAAAGGCCUUGAGGGAAUGUGGCAGCUUUGGCUGUGUUAUAGCCCUGAGGAGAUACAGUGGAGUGGACUGAGGAGUCGCAGCGUGUGCUCUUGGGCAAGGUAGACUGGGUGCUGUGGGAUGGGGCGAGGUACAAUGCAUGCAUUUUGCUUCGUCUUUUCUGUCUUACACUCGCUCAUCUCUACUCUUCCACGCUUAGGAUGUUGACAUAAUGGAUUUAAACGACC